AAAUAUGUCAAUAUUUAUCAACCAAAUACAUUUAUUAUUAAACAUCUUUUAAAUAAUAAAAAGAGCUAAUAGUUUUAGCAGUUUUUUGCAACAAUAAAACUAACCAAUAAAUAUUACCUAUAUGUUGUCACGUGGCAAGCAACUCAGAGUUACAGAGUUACAAACAUAGCUGUACCAUUUUGAAGAUCUUAUGAGGGGCAAUUGUGGUUAAGCCUCUUGACCAAAGACAUGUUAAUCCACAUACGAGUAUGAAUGAAUGAAUGAAUGAAUGAAUGAAUGUAAACUUACUUUAUCCUCGC
This is a non-coding RNA of Ciona intestinalis (vase tunicate), 299 nucleotides long. The record is from RefSeq and is a predicted model, not a curated record. NCBI's taxonomy places the organism in Eukaryota, Metazoa, Chordata, Ascidiacea, Phlebobranchia, Cionidae.